UACGUAGGGGGCGAGCGUUGUCCGGAAUUAUUGGGCGUAAAGGGCGUGUAGGCGGCCGAUCAAGUCAGGUGUGAAAUUCCAGGGCUCAACCCUGGACGUGCACUUGAAACUGGUUGGCUUGAGUGCAGAAGAGGAAAGUGGAAUUCCCAGUGUAGCGGUGAAAUGCGUAGAUAUUGGGAGGAACACCAGUGGCGAAGGCGACUUUCUGGACUGUAACUGACGCUGAGGCGCGAAAGCUAGGGGAGCAAACAGG
This 253-nucleotide ribosomal RNA is filed under the name uncultured bacterium. Its description in RNAcentral is "partial 16S ribosomal RNA". It matches the Rfam family "Bacterial small subunit ribosomal RNA", at positions 524 to 776 of the family's 1533-position model. The record is from RNAcentral.